RNAcentral lists this long non-coding RNA (1192 nucleotides) under Anser brachyrhynchus (Pink-footed goose). Its description in RNAcentral is "lncRNA (ENSABRG00000006685.1)". The record is from RNAcentral. Lineage: Eukaryota; Metazoa; Chordata; Aves; Anseriformes; Anatidae.
CACAGAACUAAAACCUGUUUUAUAGAGAGUGAAAUUCUACCAAAGACUGAAAAAAAUAACAUUUUUAUUUCAAAUGACCUCACCCAUAAGGUUUCAGAUGAGAUGCAAGAAGCAGCUACAGUUUUUACUAAUUAGUUAACAAUUUUUCAGUUUGCUUGUUACAGUCAGACUAUGACUUACUACCUCUGGGCAGCUACCAGAUUAAACUAGAUGAUACAUUUGAAAAAACAUGUUUUAACAAAGGUAAUUUUAUCUGAUAAUUUUAUGCUUCAUGAAAAUACAUAGCUAUGUUAAUGCACAUAGAUUGAUUUAGGCAGAAAUGUUGUAACAUUCAAUGUUUGGUAGAUACCUAACAUAGGGGCAAUGUGUUGCACUUUCAUCUCACAAGUAUAAGAGAGUUAGUGCCUUAAAAGCAUGUUUCUCUCAUAAAAAAAUGAUCCAGCUUAACUUGGGAUACUGAUGUUCCUGUGGCAGAUGAUAUCAAAACCUUCUUGGAAAGACUUCCAGACCUUAUGACGUUGACUUGAGGACAGAAGAGAUACCUGAAAACAGCAAAGCCAGGUACAAGACCACCAGACUAAAAAAUCUCUGAUUCCACAAAACAAAAAGGCAGAAUUGGUUGGAAUAAGUGGAUUUUAUGGGAUUCACGAAGAUUUCAUAAGGUACUGGCAGUGUUGCUCUCCACCUGGUUUGGGGUCCAUCAGGAUGGUGUGGAUGAACCCACAUCCACAGCAAUGUUAUAUAAUACGGAAGUAUCUGUACAAUCUCUUGACACAUAUUUCUGUAAGAUCUGAAUAAAAUUAAACAUCAAAGCACCCUUAGCUCUCAAAAGCAGCAUUCACUAGAUCCCAAGACUCCUAUUCUAAAAGCAAAAUAUCCAGUCCUUAUUUUUUUGUUUGUUUGUUUUUAGGUUUAUUUUUAUCCUUCUAUUCCAUUCCGUUCAUAUAAUUUUCAAAGUUGUCUUCACUACCUAUAACUCUGUUUGUGUUAAGUACUUUUGCCUCAUCCUAGGCCUAAAAAAGCAGCAGAGAAUUGUGAUAUUACAUUGUAAUGUGGUAAACUAGGGACAAUAUAGUUAGCUUAGGUACCUGAUUGGGAAUUUAUAUCUUUCCUCUGCCUUCCUUUAAACUGUUUUUCAAUCAUCAGUUUCAUGUUUUGUUUGACAGACCUAUUUUCAGUCUAACUGAGCUCA